Molecule: long non-coding RNA, 1664 nt
Organism: Sceloporus undulatus (fence lizard)
Lineage: Eukaryota; Metazoa; Chordata; Lepidosauria; Squamata; Phrynosomatidae
Exons: 2
Source: RefSeq, a predicted model, not a curated record
ACCCAUAUUUUCAUUAAAGAAGGGCUAAAGGGCCAGCAACCCAAGCAAAGAAGCCAUUUCAUUCCCUCUUCUCAGAACGAACAACAGGGACAAAGGUCUGACACAUUUUUCCACAAUGCACCAUAAAUGCUGACUCCAAUUUGACAACAUCUGGCUCAUAAACAGAAUGGAAUAACUGAGGAAAUCUACAGCAUCCCUGUGACAGAGGUUUCCAAGCAGAAGCUGGGUGACUGUUUGUGAAGGCCAGUCCACACUCUUCUGAGGCAGUCUAUUCUGUGACUGAAUGGCUACCAUCAUCUGGAAGUUCUUCUAGAUGGCUACUCUAAAUCUUUGCUCUACUAAAUUGAAUUCAAUGGCUUGGAUCCUGUCCACUGGAGAAACAGAAAAAAUUGCUCCAUCAUGUUUAUGAGAUUUGUGGCAAUUGGUGAUGGCAGCGCAGAUCUUGUGCGAGAACAAGACAUGCCAUAAAAUGCAGGCUGUGCCAUGUUACUAGAAAUUGUGUGUGUGCAUCCAAAAGAAUAAAUAAUAUGGCUGAUGCAGGAUAGACUAAAAAAAACUAAGCUAUAAAUCAGAAAGUGACCAUAUGCAAGCCGCUCUCUCUCAGCCUCACUCUUGCCCAGCUACACCAGGGGAAAUUAAAAUGAAUUUGCCUAAUAAAGUUGUAAUAAAGACUACAACUAAAGAAGGCUCUAAAUUGAAGUGCUUUGAGCACUGGAAAGUGAAAUACAAGCAUUGUUUAUUUGUUUAUUCAUUUUCAAAUGGCUUCAGUCUCCAUCAAAAGCAAAGCAGUAAGUCAAGUUCAGGAUCAAAUACAAAAUAUUUGUUGUUGCUUGUUCCAAGCUUUCUGUACAGAGCUCGCAGACCACCACUGAUCCAUGGGGCCACCGUUUGGGAAAAUCAGCAUUAAAAGGUUGUAUUUAUAUAAAAUAAACCCAUAAGCAAUCCUUCCCUCCUCAGUCUUGGCAAAGAUAUGAAUUCUUCUUCUCCCCGCCUAGGUUUUUUUUAAAACUCACAUUAGAUUCUCUCUGGUACGUACAUCAUUUUUAGUAAUAAAAAAUUAUGCAAGUGUAUCUUAGUUAAAAGCAUAUAUAUAAUAACAAACGAGCCAAAAAAAUAAUCCAGUAAUCCUGGAGGCAAAUAGGAGUAAAGCUGUAAAACCUGCCCUUAUCAGGAAAUAAUCAGAUUUUAGUGUACCACAACUUUUUUUGCUUCUGAUUCACAUUUCUAAGAGGAGUGGAUUACUGUUUCACUUUCAAGUAAAUCAACAGUGAUGAACUAGUAAUUUGUCAUUAUGAAUUCAUUACUGUGGUGAAACUAUUUAAUUGUUAGUAGAGAGGAGACAAGGGAGGGAAUCCUGAAACAACCAGUUAAGCAAUGAAAACUCGCUGAGCAAAGAAGUCCUUAUAUCACAUUAGGUAAGUGUGCAUGAAUUUGUAAUAUAAUUUGCACAUUGCGAUAUUUUCCAAUGACCAUAUUCCAAUCCAGGGCCAUUUAUCAUAGUGGUGAGCAAAAGGCUAAACCCUCAAGACUACUUACACUUUCUGACAUUUGAAAGUGGCACAAAGACACAGAACUUUGACAAGAAAAUUUGCUAGACUUUACAGAUGUCCACUCAAGACAUGAAUUUUGCCUUGCAAUAAAUUUCAAUUUAAAAUAAACCCUUC